GCGGAAGUAGUUCAGUGGUAGAACAUCACCUUGCCAAGGUGGGGGUCGCGGGUUCGAACCCCGUCUUUCGCU
RNAcentral lists this transfer RNA (72 nucleotides) under Listeria monocytogenes. RNAcentral's name for it is "tRNA-Gly". It matches the Rfam family "tRNA". Rfam says of the family: Transfer RNA (tRNA) molecules are approximately 80 nucleotides in length. Their secondary structure includes four short double-helical elements and three loops (D, anti-codon, and T loops). The record is from RNAcentral. Lineage: Bacteria; Bacillati; Bacillota; Bacilli; Caryophanales; Listeriaceae.